RNAcentral lists this ribosomal RNA (434 nucleotides) under bacterium 4.2. Its description in RNAcentral is "bacterial SSU rRNA". It matches the Rfam family "Bacterial small subunit ribosomal RNA", at positions 384 to 831 of the family's 1533-position model. The record is from RNAcentral.
UGAUGCAGCACGCCGCGUGAGGGACGACGGCCUUCGGGUUGUAAACCUCUUUUAGCAGGGAAGAAGCGAAAGUGACGGUACCUGCAGAAAAAGCGCCGGCUAACUACGUGCCAGCAGCCGCGGUAAUACGUAGGGCGCAAGCGUUAUCCGGAAUUAUUGGGCGUAAAGAGCUCGUAGGCGGUUUGUCGCGUCUGCUGUGAAAUCCGGAGGCUCAACCUCCGGCCUGCAGUGGGUACGGGCAGACUAGAGUGCGGUAGGGGAGAUUGGAAUUCCUGGUGUAGCGGUGGAAUGCGCAGAUAUCAGGAGGAACACCGAUGGCGAAGGCAGAUCUCUGGGCCGUAACUGACGCUGAGGAGCGAAAGGGUGGGGAGCAAACAGGCUUAGAUACCCUGGUAGUCCACCCCGUAAACGUUGGGAACUAGUUGUGGGGUCCA